AUGGCUCAGGAUGAACGCUAGCUACAGGCUUAACACAUGCAAGUCGAGGGCAGCAUGGAGUUGCUUGCAAACUCUGAUGGCGACCGGCGCACGGGUGAGUAACGCGUAUCCAACCUUCCCUAUAGUAGAGGAUAGCCCGGCGAAAGUCGGAUUAAUACUCUAUGUUUUCCGUUGCAGACAUCUAAGAUGGAACAAAGGCUUGCCGCUAUAGGAUGGGGAUGCGUCUGAUUAGGUAGUCGGCGGGGUAACGGCCCACCGAGCCAUCGAUCAGUAGGGGUUCUGAGAGGAAGGUCCCCCACAUUGGAACUGGGACACGGUCCAAACUCCUACGGGAGGCAGCAGUGAGGAAUAUUGGUCAAUGGACGAGAGUCUGAACCAGCCAAGUAGCCGUGCAGGACGACGGCCCUAUGGGUUGUAAACUGCUUUUAUGCGGGGAUAAAGUUCACUACGUGUAGUGUUUUGUAGGUACCGCAUGAAUAAGGACCGGCUAAUUCCGUGCCAGCAGCGGC
This 509-nucleotide ribosomal RNA is filed under the name uncultured bacterium. RNAcentral's name for it is "bacterial SSU rRNA". It matches the Rfam family "Bacterial small subunit ribosomal RNA", at positions 19 to 518 of the family's 1533-position model. The record is from RNAcentral.